Sinocyclocheilus anshuiensis is the source of this 123-nucleotide long non-coding RNA. RefSeq lists it as uncharacterized. The transcript has 3 exons. NCBI's taxonomy places the organism in Eukaryota, Metazoa, Chordata, Actinopteri, Cypriniformes, Cyprinidae. The record is from RefSeq and is a predicted model, not a curated record.
CAGACCGCGUUGAGCACGCUGAGGAGAGGUGGAAAAAAAUCACAGAAUGAAAACAUUUCUCAUUGUUGUACUCUCUCUCUACUCCAUCCAGCAUCUGCAUGCUCCAUGUUAAUAAACCCUCCA